CCCGCUGCUUCCCAGCAAGACCCGCCGGCGACCUAGGGAUCCACCYGGUCGGAGGAGCCUGGGGACCGGCGCCCUGCAGCACCCCGUCAUGGCCUCACAGCUCUGCGCUUCGCAGAGGGCGAGAGCGGCGCUGGCCGUCGGGACGGAGACUCGGGGCCUCUGGGCGGAGGGCUUCCUUCCUGCCCCUGAUCCCUGCUCAGCCCGGGAGCGCCUCCCAGGGCGGGUGUAGARCCGGGGACCGCAGAGGGUGAGCGCGAGAGAGGCUCAUUUGGAAGAUGCCUUCGGGUUGGCGGGUCCGUGAGCUUCUGGGGAUGGCAUCGAGGGCCGGCGAAAGCGGUGCCGUCCUCUAGCGUAGGGCCACAGGACCAAGAGGACCGGCCAGUGCGACUGUGGCUUCUAGAUCUCUAGUGGGAAGAUGGUCGGCAGGAUUAGACUCAGCAGURGGCCUGGCUACUCUCCAGGCGAUGCUACUGAGGAAAUAACUUCGUCUUCCAGACACUUUGUCCUAGAUUUAGGUCGUCAACAGCACUGAGACAGACACCGAGCGCCAAGCACCUCAGCGGCACUUACAGCCUGGAGCCCUCAAGGGGCCUGGCGAUGGACCACCCAGGCUGUCUGCCAAGGGCCCAGCACAGGACUGACCUCACCAAUCAGAACUACUUUAAACCUCACGAGUUCUCGACCCAGAUGGAGUGCUUUGAUGGCCUCACAGGUCCAGGUCCCUGGUUCCACCUCUUGUGUACUUCAUCCAAGGAUGCCCUGGCUUUUCACAGUUGCUAUGCCAAUUCUAUUUUUAAAGGACAACCGGAUUGUUUUCUUCAUUUCCAAACCUGUAAGUGA
RNAcentral lists this long non-coding RNA (840 nucleotides) under Urocitellus parryii (Arctic ground squirrel). RNAcentral describes it as "lncRNA (ENSUPAG00010003141.1)". The record is from RNAcentral. Lineage: Eukaryota; Metazoa; Chordata; Mammalia; Rodentia; Sciuridae.